GAUGAACGCUAGCUACAGGCUUAACACAUGCAAGUCGAGGGGCAUCAGGAAGGAAGCUUGCUUUCUUCGCUGGCGACCGGCGCACGGGUGAGUAACACGUAUCCAACCUGCCGAUGACUCGGGGAUAGCCUUUCGAAAGAAAGAUUAAUACCCGAUGGCAUAGUUCUUCCGCAUGGUAGAACUAUUAAAGAAUUUCGGUCAUCGAUGGGGAUGCGUUCCAUUAGCGUGGUGGCGGGGUAACGGCCCACCAAGGCAUCGAUGGAUAGGGGUUCUGAGAGGAAGGUCCCCCACAUUGGAACUGAGACACGGUCCAA
RNAcentral lists this ribosomal RNA (314 nucleotides) under uncultured bacterium. RNAcentral's name for it is "bacterial SSU rRNA". It matches the Rfam family "Bacterial small subunit ribosomal RNA", at positions 28 to 334 of the family's 1533-position model. The record is from RNAcentral.